UUUGACUCCGCCCCACCGGUCAAUGACGCUGCAUCAGAACUAGAUGCGGCCAUAGCUUGUAUUACCGGGGAUGUCACUUUCAAGACACCUAUGAGAUCUGCCUGUGUUAAACUAUUGACACAUCCUGUUGUAUACAGUCAGGACAUCGGUGCACAGCUAUCAGAGGCUGUAAAGAUCCCUUUGAGACAUGUGGGUGGUAAAAUAUUGACACAUCCUGUAGCAUACCGUCAGGACAUUGGUGCACAGCUAUCAGAUAUGUGUUUUCUCAGAGGAUUUUCAGUGCAGACCAGUCCUAGCAUCAGCCAUCCCCUCAUCAGAUGAUGAACCCCUGAGCUGUGCUCAGUUGUAUACACCCUCAUCAC
Molecule: long non-coding RNA, 362 nt
Organism: Pseudoliparis swirei
Lineage: Eukaryota; Metazoa; Chordata; Actinopteri; Perciformes; Liparidae
Exons: 4
Source: RefSeq, a predicted model, not a curated record